UAUGGGGGUCUGUGUGUAUAUGGGUGGGCAGUGUACACACAUACACUGCCCACCCAUAUACACACAGACCCCCAUACA
Molecule: non-coding RNA, 78 nt
Organism: Pelobates cultripes (western spadefoot toad)
Lineage: Eukaryota; Metazoa; Chordata; Amphibia; Anura; Pelobatidae
Source: the annotation of a GenBank genome assembly